Molecule: long non-coding RNA, 722 nt
Organism: Pantherophis guttatus
Lineage: Eukaryota; Metazoa; Chordata; Lepidosauria; Squamata; Colubridae
Source: RefSeq, a predicted model, not a curated record
UCCAAAGGUGAUUCAGGCUGCAAAGGACAGAGAGGAGCUCAAUAAGAAAUCUUUAUCUCAGCAAAAAAUGACAUACAGUUCAGAAAUAUAAUUAAAACUGGAGCGUUUUUAGUGAAAUGUUGAAGUGACAAGAUACAGUUCAUAAAAUAUAAUAGUAUAAAAUGAUUAAUACCUGCUAAACUAUGUGUUAAAACAAAUCAUAGAUUUAGCAUUAGUUUAGAUUAAACAUAAAAAAAAAAAGUUUUAUUACAACAAAAGGCCAGCCUUAGUGAUACCAAGAAAUGACGUUAACAUAGUCAUCUCUUAUUAAAGAAUCCAGCCAUAUACUCCAAUGAAAAAGAGAGGAAUUUUCAGAAAAUGUCCUUUCCCUCAGCUCAUGGAAAUAAUCCUAACCCUACAAAUGCAGAUGGCACUGAGCCAAUAGUAACACAUGAUUCAAAUGACAGGAAAAGCAAAUAAGUAAAAAGUUAAUGAUGGAAACAGAAGAAGCCCAUUGACAUAAGACUGUGAUAAAGAAUGUUAAGUAUCUUUAACUAUUGGAGAAAAAACUAAAUUUCAGAAAAAGAAUACCAGAGUUGGAAGGGACCUUGAAGAUCUUCUAAUCCAACCCUCUGCUCAAGCAUGAAAACCUAUACCAGUUUCAAUUUUAUUUUAUUUUUUGCAUUGCAAAAGCAAUAUGGAUUAUGCAUUAUGGCUAAACAAUAAAGAGCUUUUCUCUUGUU